This 380-nucleotide ribosomal RNA is filed under the name uncultured eukaryote. RNAcentral describes it as "partial 18S ribosomal RNA". It matches the Rfam family "Eukaryotic small subunit ribosomal RNA", at positions 592 to 976 of the family's 1831-position model. The record is from RNAcentral.
CAAUAGCGUAUAUUAAAGCUGUUGCGGUUAAAAAGUUCGUAGUUGGAUUUCUGCCAAGGACGACCGGUCCGCCCUCUGGGUGAGUAUCUGGCUUGGCCUGGGCAUCUUCUUGGAGAACGUCGCUGCACUUCACUGUGUGGUGCGGUAUCCAGGACUUUUACUUUGAGGAAAUUAGAGUGUUUCAAGCAGGCUUCCGCCUUGAAUACAUUAGCAUGGAAUAAUAAGAUAGGACCUCGGUUCUGUUUUGUUGGUUUCUAGAGCUGGGGUAAUGAUUAAUAGGGAUAGUUGGGGGCAUUCGUAUUUAACUGUCAGAGGUGAAAUUCUUGGAUUUGUUAAAGACGGACUACUGCGAAANCANNNGCCAAGGAUGUUUUCAUNGA